UACAGAGGGUGCGAGCGUUGUCCGGAUUCAUUGGGCGUAAAGAGCUCGUAGGCGGCCACUCAAGUCGAAUGUGAAACCUCGAGGCUUAACCUCGAGCCUGCAUUCGAUACUGGGCGGCUAGAGUCUGGUAGGGGGAUCUGGAAUUCCUGGUGUAGCGGUGGAAUGCGCAGAUAUCAGGAGGAACACCGGUGGCGAAGGCGGGAUCCUGGGCCAGUACUGACGCUGAGGAGCGAAAGCGUGGGGAGCAAACAGG
This 253-nucleotide ribosomal RNA is filed under the name uncultured bacterium. Its description in RNAcentral is "partial 16S ribosomal RNA". It matches the Rfam family "Bacterial small subunit ribosomal RNA", at positions 524 to 776 of the family's 1533-position model. The record is from RNAcentral.